This is a long non-coding RNA of Bufo bufo (common toad), 466 nucleotides long. RefSeq lists it as uncharacterized. The record is from RefSeq and is a predicted model, not a curated record. Lineage: Eukaryota; Metazoa; Chordata; Amphibia; Anura; Bufonidae. The transcript has 4 exons.
UGCUGCAGACACAGCCGCACUACAUCUGUCAGCUCCUGGGAGUACAGGCUCACGUGCUGCAGACACAGCCGCACUACAUCUGUCAGCUCCUGGGAGUACAGGCUCACCUGCUGCAGACACAGCCGCACUACAUCUGUCAGCUCCGGGGACUCCUGGAAGUACAGGCUCACCUGCUGCAGACACAGCCGCACUACAUCUGUCAGCUCCGGGGACUCCUGGGAGUACAGGCUCACCUGCUGCAGACACAGCCGCACUACAUCUGUCAGCUCCUGGGAGUACAGGCUCACCUGCUGCAGACACAGCCGCACUACAUCUGUCAGCUCUGGGGAGUACAGGCUCACCUGCUGCAGACACAGCCGCACUACAUCUGUCAGCUCCGGGGACUCCUGGGAGUACAGGCUCACCUGCUGCAGACACAGCCGCACUACAUCUGUCAGCUCCUGGGAGUACAGGCUCACCUGCUGCA